CAGUAGCCGCGGGAAUACCGAGGGUGCGAGCGUUAAUCGGAUUUACUGGGCGUAAAGCGUGCGUAGGCGUCUUCUUAAGUCGGAUGUGAAAUCCCUGAGCUUAACUUAGGAAUUGCAUUCGAUACUGGGAAGCUAGAGUAUGGGAGAGGAUGGUAGAAUUCCAGGUGUAGCGGUGAAAUGCGUAGAGAUCUGGAGGAAUACCGAUGGCGAAGGCAGCCAUCUGGCCUAAUACUGACGCUGAGGUACGAAAGCAUGGGGAGCAAACAGUAUUAGAUACCCCGGUAGUCCCUGUCUCUUAUAC
This 301-nucleotide ribosomal RNA is filed under the name uncultured bacterium. RNAcentral describes it as "partial 16S ribosomal RNA". It matches the Rfam family "Bacterial small subunit ribosomal RNA", at positions 509 to 807 of the family's 1533-position model. The record is from RNAcentral.